Molecule: long non-coding RNA, 405 nt
Filed under: Daucus carota (carrot)
Lineage: Eukaryota; Viridiplantae; Streptophyta; Magnoliopsida; Apiales; Apiaceae
Description: long non-coding RNA (DCAR_LNC000677)
Source: RNAcentral
AAUGAUCUUAUGCAAGCACGUGUUUGACUAAAUUGGCCCUCCCAAAUCACAGGUGAUUUUCGCUCCUUUUCUGACUAGUCACAACUAGUAUUUCAGCAGAGAAACAAAGCCCAUAUUAGUAAAAUAGUCAUGGUGUGCUGUAUGGUGUGGGAAGGUCGUAAUGAUUGGUAUGGAAUCAGCACAGUUUACAGUGCUAUCUGCAUACUCUGCUCUUAAUCAACGGAUGACUGCCAAAGACAAAACCUUUGAUCACUCUAUGGGUUAUAUUACACAAAAAGAUGGAAAUGAACGUCGGCAAUUAUCAAUGUUGAACAAGAUUAAGAUAAACACAGAUGCGUCAUAUUUGAGGAAUCUAAUUGUUACAGCCAUGCCUUCGUGAUCCAUGAUCAUAGGGAUGAGUUUCUG